RNAcentral lists this ribosomal RNA (242 nucleotides) under uncultured bacterium. RNAcentral's name for it is "partial 16S ribosomal RNA". It matches the Rfam family "Bacterial small subunit ribosomal RNA", at positions 113 to 354 of the family's 1533-position model. The record is from RNAcentral.
CGACGUGAGGAACCUGCCUUGGAGUGGGGAAUAACAGCUAGAAAUAGCUGCUAAUACCGCAUAAAGCAGUUGGGCCGCAUGACUCUGACUGCUAAAGAUUUAUCGCUCUGAGAUGGCCUCGCGUCUGAUUAGAUAGUUGGCGGGGUAACGGCCCACCAAGUCGACGAUCAGUAGCCGGACUGAGAGGUUGGCCGGCCACAUUGGGACUGAGACACGGCCCAGACUCCUACGGAAGGCAGCAG